UUUCCGUAGGUGAACCUGCGGAAGGAUCAUUAUU
RNAcentral lists this ribosomal RNA (34 nucleotides) under Papiliotrema aurea. Its description in RNAcentral is "partial 18S ribosomal RNA". The record is from RNAcentral. Lineage: Eukaryota; Fungi; Basidiomycota; Tremellomycetes; Tremellales; Rhynchogastremaceae.